Nicotiana tabacum (common tobacco) is the source of this 2771-nucleotide non-coding RNA. NCBI's taxonomy places the organism in Eukaryota, Viridiplantae, Streptophyta, Magnoliopsida, Solanales, Solanaceae. The record is from RefSeq and is a predicted model, not a curated record.
UUCUUCCUUUUUCUUCUUCUUCUUCUUCUUCUUCUUCUUCUUCUUCUCUUCUUUUUAUUUUUUUGGCUCUGUUUUUGAUCGAGGCAUCAAGCAACAAUGCAGACUCAACAGAAUAGAGAGUCUGUUUUUGCUCUGUUUUUUCUUCCAUUUUCUUCUUCUUCUCUUCUUUUUUUCUUUGCUUUCUUUUUGAUCGAGCAACACUCUAUUUUUCCUCCGUUCUGACUUCUGUCUUCCUUUUUUUUCUUCAGUUCUUCUCUCUUCUUCUUUCUCUUUUUGCUCUGUUUUUUGUUUUUCAGUUCCUUCAUAGCUUCACUGUUGGGCAGAGGCAGAGAACUUUAUUUCAAACCUGAAAUUUCCUCCUUUUUUAGUUAUAGAGUAGAAUUAAUUGCAUAUUGACUUGAUAAUUUUUUCCUAUAAAACAGUAUUGAAAUGACGUCAUCCGAUGGUAAUAAAAGAAAUGAUAUAGCUUGGAAUUAUGCUAUACAAGGUUCAUCAAGAUCCACAAUUAAAUGUGUGUUUUAUGAAAAAUAUACCAUGAUGGAAUAACUCGUCACAAACAACAUUUGAUUGGUGGAUUUAAAAAUGUAGUACAAUGUCCACUUUGUCCGCCUGAGGUUAGGGAGGAAGUAAAAGCAUUUGUUGAGAAGAAAAAUGUGACAAGAACUCAAAUGAGUUAUGAACCAUCGAUGAAUCUUAUUGAUGAAGAUGAUGAAAUGGGACCUCCUCCCCAAACUCAAAAAAUAUCUUGAAAUAGUUUUAGUGGGUCAUCCACGCGUACGGUGACAAAAGGUCCUAUCAAUCUUUAUUUCUCGGCAAAACAACAAGAAAAUUGAAAAGGUGAUUCUGGUUCAGGUUUAGAAGCCAAGAAGAUUUUGAGGGAUACGCGCCGUAAGUGCCUUUGCAACAUGGAUGUACGAUGCAUGGCUCCUUUUCAAUUGCGUUAACUACAAAACUUUUGAUAUGACCCAGGAAUGAAGCCUUCUAGCUAUCAUGAAGUUAGAGUAACUCAUCUUAAAAAAGAGGUGAAGAAGAUAGGCAAAAUUGUUGAGGAGCAUAGAGUGGAAUGGAACAAGUUUUGAUGUUCCAUUAUGAUGGAUAAAUGGACAACACGGAAUGGAAAAAUGGUCAUAUAUGUGCUGGUGAAUUCUCCAAGAGGUAGUAUUUUUCUUGAAUCUUACGAUGCUAGCAACUCUUCUACGGACACAACCAAAAUGUACAACUUGUUUGCAAAGACUAUUGAGAAAAUUGGAAAGGAAAAUGUUGUACAAGUUGUUACCGAUAACGCUAGUAAGAAUGUUAGUGCGGGUAAGAUGAUGCAAAGGUGUGCAUCCACAUAUUUGUUGGACUCCAUGUGCUGCCCAUUGUAUCAAUUUGAUAUUUGGUGACAUAUUCAAGGGAACCCAUAUGCUUCAGUUUUCACUUAGGCAGUCAAGAUAUAUUCUUACAUCAGUUAGAGGCCAUUGUUGUUGAAUUUGAUGAGGAAAUUUACAAAUGAAAGAAAUUUGGUGAGACCGGCCAAGACUAGAUUUGGAACGGCUUUCUUGACUUUGCAUAGUUUUUACUUGCAAAAGAAAAACUUGAGAAAUCUAGUUCUUUCAAAUGAAUGGAAAGAAAAUAGAUAUGCAAAGGAAGCUGAAGGGAAAGAAACUGCCAAAAUUUUUAUUUCUCCAUUUUGGAAUAACGUCGUUCAGGCUCUUAAAGUUGGUGGUCCUUUGAUUAGGGUACUUCGUAUGGUGGAUGGGGAGAGAAAACCACCAAUGGGCUAUCUUUAUGAAGCUAUGGAUAGAGCCAAAGGAACUAUUGAAGCGUCAUUUAAGCGUGAUAUGAGGAAGUAUGAGAAAGUUUUUGAGAUUAUUGAUAGAAGGUGGUCGGAUCAAUUCCAUCGACCUUGGCGUGCAACAGGCCAUAUUUUGAACCCGGGAUUGUUUUACAAGAAUAAUAGAGAUGGCACUUUAGAUUCAGAGGUGUGAGUUGGAUACCAUAAAUGUCUUGAGAAGUUGGUCCCCGAUGCAACGAUUGUAGAUCAAAUAGGGGAGGAGUUUGGUAAGUACACACAAGCAGAUGGCCUAUUUGGUUUACAGACGACUAUUAGAGCCAGAGACAUAAGGUUGCAAGUUGAAUGGUGGAUGCAAUUUGGUCCUCAAACUCCAAACUUGCAAAAGUUUGCCGUCAAAGUACUAAGCUUAACUUCUAGUGCAAAAUUGGAACGUAUUUGAGCAUGUAAGAAGCAAAUUUAUUAUAAUAAUAUAUUCUAUAUUGUAUUAUUAGUGGCAUCUAUUAAUUAAUCUCUACAACUUAUGCGCAAAUUCACUCCAAGAAAAGGAAUAGACUUGAGUUAUCGCAUCUCAAUGAUCUAGUGUAUAUUAAAUACAAUAGAACAUUGAAGCGUCGUUAUGACGCUCGCGAUACCAUUGAUCCAAUUUUGUUGGAUAACAUUGACGAGGCAAAUGAAUAUGGUUAACUGGAGCCCCACAAAUCAUGAAGAUGAACAAGUGUAUGUAGGAGAUGAUCUCGAUUAGGGUACUGUUUUCUAAGUUGCUCGGACUCUUCACUUUCAGUGCCGCACCCGUGUCGACACGACGUGGGUGUGGGUAUGGGUGUGGGAUCCGUGUUGGAUCUGGUCAACCGAUUUUGGCUACUUUGACCAAAAUCAACGGAGAAAUUUGGGACAGAUACAAUGAUUUUUGAAAACAAAUCAAAAGCUAGGGUGAUAUGGAAGAAAAUGGAAUACCUUGUAUAUAUAAAUUUCUAUGUCAGUCCUUUUCCUUUUA